AGUUUUCAUCUCUGCCUGCUGGGUGGAGCCCCUGACUCGGCUGAGCCAAGGGUGGGGGGGUUGGUGAACCGACCGGCCCCCUGGGUUUCUUGAACCCUUUCUCAGGCUCCGGGAAGGGGCUGAGGGGCCUGGCACCAUCCCACCAGCGCAGCGGUCCCCAACCCUUUUGACACCGGGGACAGGUUUUGUGGAAGACAAUGUUUCCGUGGGUGCUGGGGAGAAGACGGGAUGGUUUCCUCCUCAGAUCAUCAGGCAUUCGAUUCCCGUAAGGAGGGGACAACCUGGAUCCCGCGCGUGCGCCGUUCCCAUUAGGGUCCGCUCCUGUGAGAAGUUAGUGCUACUGCUGAUCUGACAGGAGGCGGAGCUCAGGCGGUCACGCUCGUCCGCCACUCACCUCCUGCCGUGCGGCCGGUUCCCAGCAAGCCACAGCCUGGGGACCCCUGCUCUGGAGGACGGCGAGUGUCUCUCGGUCAUCCCCAAUGGGCCAGUGAUCCUGCUGGAGGGGCUGGGGCUGCACAGGCCACAGGCUCAGUUGUGCUGCUGGCCAAAGAUGUCCACUGAAGUGGCUCCAGAGUCCCUCAAGGAAGCCGACGUCCACUUCGCUUCCUCCUCCCAGCCCCACCUUCACUUCUGGGACCAUGGAGCUCAUGGGGCCUGCACGCCACGGAGUCCCCGACUGAGGAGCGAGGAGGGCUCUUGUGGGGGCAGAUCUGGAGUCAUACUUGAGGCCAGGCUCGAAUCCUGCCUUCCUUUGGUGGCUCUGAGAUUCAGGGCUGGCUUUUCUGAGAAUACCCAAGUGAGGUGCCUUGGGAUGUCCCUGACUUGGAGACACAGAGGAGGCUGGGCACCCCUUUUCCCCGACUCACUGAGCCAGGGAAGGGGCCACACCCUCUUCAGACCUCUGGCUGCUGCAUGAAACGGGAGCCCUGCCUGGGCUGCCCACCGCGCAUCACAGACGGAUCCCUGCAAAUUUCGCAGGCAUCUGGAUCGAAUAACAGGCUGAUAGGGCGUAUAAAAUCAGAGACAGAACUCUCCAGAAGGCCGGGUGCGGCUCCCUGGGAUUCCACACGAGAAGGCAGGGAUGCUGCUGCCCACACGGGAAGGAUGGAGGCUGAGUCAGAGGGAAGACAGUGGCAAGCCCAGC
Non-coding RNA from Macaca mulatta (Rhesus monkey), 1144 nucleotides. Lineage: Eukaryota; Metazoa; Chordata; Mammalia; Primates; Cercopithecidae. The record is from RefSeq and is a predicted model, not a curated record.